AGGAGAACAAAGGGGGUUCUCUUCAAAAACCCUAAACUCACAAAAAUUCAACAAAUCAAAGGGAAAUCGAGCUAGAAAAUUGGGGCUUUAACUAAUUUCAUGAUCACCCAAGUUAGGAGAUCACAAGGCAAAGCGGGUGAAUCUUCAAGCAGUCAAGUUGGAACGGACACGCGCUUGAAGCCAAGGGUCUCUUCUGGAAGCAGCCACUCUAUCCCUAGGGAUAGAGGCAAGGUAUGUCUACAUCCCACCCUCCCCAGACCCUAUAAGUAGCUUUGCUAUUUGUAGGAUUUAUUGGGUAUGGUUGUUGUUGCUGGAGGCGUCCGUCCCAAAGCCCAUCGGCCCAACUCCUUCCACACUUUUCGGCUAUAAAUAUCAGCCUUCAACCACAGAUUGCUAUGGAUUCAUUGUCGAAGAAAGAUUAAGGAUUAACCAUUAUUUGAUGAGACUGCUCCGACAAGGAUAAAUCCCAUGGUGUUUCUUCAAAAACCGACUUCAAAUCAAGUAAUUUGAUUGCGGUAUCCAUCCACUUGCCUAUCAAACAAAAACACCUAAGCCAGGCCUGUUUAAGAAUGUGUGGAUAGUAGGGUUGAUUAAAAAUGAAGCGAGGAAAAUGGAAACGAGAAGGCAGUAAUGUGUAAAUCAGCAUAUUUGUUGGCUCCAAUUCCAAAUUCCAAACUUAUGGUACAAUCAAGCAUCGAGCAGUCGCUGCGGAUAAAGACAGAUUCAUGGAGGAAUUGACGGAAGCAUUGGAGGCAGAAAGAAUGAUCCAAGAGCGUGAACGGGAAGUCGCUGAGCAGAAAUUGGAAGCCCCCUGGAGAAAGAGAAAAGUGUUCUCAAGGGGCCAGGAUAAUCAAGAUGCUUCAGUUCAGUCUCUCACCAUGAGAUCCAUCAUGACGGUUGAGCUCACCAACGCGUGGCCUCGCCAGACUGUUGCUAUGGCUACCUGGAUUAGUGACCAAACCUCGAGUCCACGACCAAGCAGGGCCUUCGCCUCAGCUUUGAGGGCAAUAAGUGUCUUAGAACGCUUCACAGAGUAUGUCAUCUAGCCUAUCGACAUGUUAUAUUGUAAACCGACAUGAUAUUGUAACCAACAUGCUACUUUUUCGUUUCUUUACUAUAUCUUUCUUCAACAGGUAUUGUGAAUGGGUCAGCGGGUUAACGGGUCAGUGGGUGAACGGGUCAGUGGGUGAACGGCUCAGCGGGUGAACUGGUCACGGGUCAGUGGGUGGACGGGUCAGCAGGUCAGUGGGUUAACAGCUGAGCAGGUGAACUGGUCAACGGGUCAACUAGCCACUGGGUUAACAGGUCAGCGAGUAAACGAGUCAGCGGGUGAACUGGUUAGCGGGUGAACGGGUCAGCGAGUCUACAAUUCCCUAAAAGGUUACAUAAGAACGACAUGAAUGCUAGGACAUGGACCGUUUAACUGUAGCGAAAUCAUGUAUAUAAGUAGAAAAGAUGGACACCUGUAGUGUUUGUUUU
RNA transcript from Helianthus annuus (common sunflower), 1479 nucleotides. RefSeq lists it as uncharacterized. NCBI's taxonomy places the organism in Eukaryota, Viridiplantae, Streptophyta, Magnoliopsida, Asterales, Asteraceae. The record is from RefSeq and is a predicted model, not a curated record. The transcript is spliced from 6 exons.